AUGAGAAUUUCCAUUGAUGAGUGCAAGGAAAGAACCGCUAGGAUGUGUGCUUACAAAGAUGCCUUUAUUAAAGUGUGUUCUUCCAAUCCCUAUGAAAAUCAAGAUGAAGAUCUAAAAGUUAUUGAUGUGUCCCCCAUUAAAUCUUUGUUUUGCAAUAUGAAUCUUGAUGAAUCUGAAUAUGAUCUUCCUUUACCUAGAAGGCGUUCUAAGAAUUCGGAGUUUCUAGAUCUUGAUGAUGAAAUUGAUGAAAGUGGGAUUGAAAUAAAUAAAAAUCAUGAUGUUGCUAAACCCACCAUUUUGGAUCUCAAGGAAUUUAAUUAUGAGAAUUGCUCUUUGAUUGGUUGUAUUUCCUUGUUGCAAUCCGUGCUAGAUUCUCCGCAUGCUUAUAGUCAAAAUAAGGCCUUUACCGAAAAUAUUUUUGAUGCUUUGAUGCAAUCUUAUGAAGAAAAACUUGAGUUGAAAGUUUCUAUCCCUAGAAAACUCUAUGAUGAGUGGGCACCUACUAUUUAA
RNAcentral lists this ribosomal RNA (510 nucleotides) under Triticum aestivum (bread wheat). RNAcentral describes it as "partial small subunit ribosomal RNA". The record is from RNAcentral. Lineage: Eukaryota; Viridiplantae; Streptophyta; Magnoliopsida; Poales; Poaceae.